GACGAAGGAUGCAAGCGUUAUCCGGAUUCAUUGGGUUUAAAGGGAGCGUAGGUGGCCUUAUAAGUCAGUGGUGAAAUCUCUGGGCUUAACCCAGAAAUUGCCAUUGAUACUGUAGGGCUUGAGUAUAGAUGCCGUUGGCGGAAUAUGACAUGUAGUGGUGAAAUACAUAGAGAUGUCAUAGAACACCGAUUGCGAAGGCAGCUAACGAAACUAUAACUGACACUGAGGCGCGAAAGCGUGGGGAGCGAACAGG
RNAcentral lists this ribosomal RNA (253 nucleotides) under uncultured bacterium. Its description in RNAcentral is "partial 16S ribosomal RNA". It matches the Rfam family "Bacterial small subunit ribosomal RNA", at positions 524 to 776 of the family's 1533-position model. The record is from RNAcentral.